UUUCUUCACUGAUUUUCUUUAUUUUUCUUCUAGGUAAAUUAUACGGAAUGCCGAAACAAUUAUCUAUAGGGAUUCGAAAACGUAGAUCUUUCACAGAUUGCUCGUUGCCUUAAAAUGAACAAAAACAGGGAUCAGCUUGCUACCUAACAGACACUUACUCAAGGACACUGGAUUACACAUAUCAAAUGCGCACCUAUCCAGGACUCCCAAGUUUGGACAUGCAUCAUUUAUAUUGCCUUAGACGGACGGACAGACUCGUCGCUACCGAUCUACUGAUGUAAACACAGCCUAAUAAACCGUGACUUACGAAUCUUCCAAUCGGAAACAACCUCACCACCUUCCCAACCCCAUCCUACCCCCGUCAGGGCGGAUACCUUGCCCCAACAGCGCGACUUACGAUAAAUCUAAUGCCGUGACUAAGGUGUCCGACCCUACAGACGUAGGACAGCGUAAGGAGAAGCAAACAAAAAUAUGAAGUUGGACACCUGAUUUCUCAGGCCCCAUGUUGCGGGCGCCAUUUUUGUCCUGUCCUAUGGACCUUUAUCGUCUGGAGUAGGAACUAAUCUACUGACGGCGUUGGCUGGCUGACAGCUUGCUCCGGCAACAGCUCAGUCUUUGGGGCCGCAGUUCUUGUCAAUAGAUUAGACCUCGAUAAAGUGGACAAAAA
Musca vetustissima is the source of this 667-nucleotide long non-coding RNA. RefSeq lists it as uncharacterized. The transcript has 3 exons. NCBI's taxonomy places the organism in Eukaryota, Metazoa, Arthropoda, Insecta, Diptera, Muscidae. The record is from RefSeq and is a predicted model, not a curated record.